RNAcentral lists this ribosomal RNA (1433 nucleotides) under uncultured organism. Its description in RNAcentral is "16S ribosomal RNA". It matches the Rfam family "Bacterial small subunit ribosomal RNA". The record is from RNAcentral.
GUGCUUAACACAUGCAAGUCGAACGGAAAGGCCCUGCUUUUGUGGGGUGCUCGAGUGGCGAACGGGUGAGUAACACGUGAGUAACCUGCCCUUGACUUUGGGAUAACUUCAGGAAACUGGGGCUAAUACCGGAUAGGAGCUCCUGCUGCAUGGUGGGGGUUGGAAAGUUUCGGCGGUUGGGGAUGGACUCGCGGCUUAUCAGCUUGUUGGUGGGGUAGUGGCUUACCAAGGCUUUGACGGGUAGCCGGCCUGAGAGGGUGACCGGCCACAUUGGGACUGAGAUACGGCCCAGACUCCUACGGGAGGCAGCAGUGGGGAAUAUUGCACAAUGGGCGGAAGCCUGAUGCAGCAACGCCGCGUGCGGGAUGACGGCCUUCGGGUUGUAAACCGCUUUCGCCUGUGACGAAGCGUGAGUGACGGUAAUGGGUAAAGAAGCACCGGCUAACUACGUGCCAGCAGCCGCGGUGAUACGUAGGGUGCGAGCGUUGUCCGGAUUUAUUGGGCGUAAAGGGCUCGUAGGUGGUUGAUCGCGUCGGAAGUGUAAUCUUGGGGCUUAACCCUGAGCGUGCUUUCGAUACGGGUUGACUUGAGGAAGGUAGGGGAGAAUGGAAUUCCUGGUGGAGCGGUGGAAUGCGCAGAUAUCAGGAGGAACACCAGUGGCGAAGGCGGUUCUCUGGGCCUUUCCUGACGCUGAGGAGCGAAAGCGUGGGGAGCGAACAGGCUUAGAUACCCUGGUAGUCCACGCUGUAAACGGUGGGUACUAGGUGUGGGGUCCAUUCCACGGGUUCCGUGCCGUAGCUAACGCUUUAAGUACCCCGCCUGGGGAGUACGGCCGCAAGGCUAAAACUCAAAGGAAUUGACGGGGCCCCGCACAAGCGGCGGAGCAUGCGGAUUAAUUCGAUGCAACGCGUAGAACCUUACCUGGGUUUGACAUGGAUCGGGAGUGCUCAGAGAUGGGUGUGCCUCUUUUGGGGUCGGUUCACAGGUGGUGCAUGGCUGUCGUCAGCUCGUGUCGUGAGAUGUUGGGUUAAGUCCCGCAACGAGCGCAACCCUUGUUCACUGUUGCCAGCACGUUAUGGUGGGGACUCAGUGGAGACCGCCGGGGUCAACUCGGAGGAAGGUGGGGAUGACGUCAAGUCAUCAUGCCCCUUAUGUCCAGGGCUUCACGCAUGCUACAAUGGCUGGUACAGAGAGUGGCGAGCCUGUGAGGGUGAGCGAAUCUCGGAAAGCCGGUCUCAGUUCGGAUUGGGGUCUGCAACUCGACCUCAUGAAGUCGGAGUCGCUAGUAAUCGCAGAUCAGCAACGCUGCGGUGAAUACGUUCCCGGGGCUUGUACACACCGCCCGUCAAGUCAUGAAAGUUGGUAACACCCGAAGCCGGUGGCCUAACCGAAGUGGGGGAGCCGUCGAAGGUGGGACUGGUGAUUAGGACUAA